GAUGAACGCUGGCGGCGUGCUUAACACAUGCAAGUCGAACGGAACUCUCUGGAAAGAGGCUUCGGCCAAUUGAAUUUGAGUUUAGUGGCGGACGGGUGAGUAACGCGUGAGUAACCUGCCUUGGAGUGGGGAAUAACAGUUGGAAACGACUGCUAAUACCGCAUAAUGCAUCGGGGUCGCAUGGCUCUGAUGCCAAAGAUUUAUCGCUCUUAGAUGGACUCGCGUCUGAUUAGCUAGUUGGUGGGGUAACGGCCUACCAAGUCAACGAUCAGUAGCCGGUCUGAGAGGAUGAACGGCCACAUUGGGACUGAGAUACGGCCCAG
Molecule: ribosomal RNA, 323 nt
Filed under: uncultured bacterium
Lineage: Bacteria
Description: bacterial SSU rRNA
Rfam family: Bacterial small subunit ribosomal RNA
Source: RNAcentral